GUCCCAGUUCGGACUGCGGCCUGCAACCCGGCCGCACGAAGCUGGAAUCGCUAGUAAUCGCGGAUCAGAAUGCCGCGGUGAAUACGUUCCCGGGUCUUGUACACACCGCCCGUCACACCAUGGGAGUCAGCAACGCCCGAAGUCAGUGACCCAACCUUCAAGGAGGGAGCUGCCGAAGGCGGGGCAGGUAACUGGGGUGAAGUCGUAACAAGGUAUC
Molecule: ribosomal RNA, 217 nt
Filed under: uncultured bacterium
Lineage: Bacteria
Description: partial 16S ribosomal RNA
Rfam family: Bacterial small subunit ribosomal RNA
Source: RNAcentral